RNAcentral lists this ribosomal RNA (467 nucleotides) under uncultured bacterium. Its description in RNAcentral is "partial 16S ribosomal RNA". It matches the Rfam family "Bacterial small subunit ribosomal RNA", at positions 28 to 506 of the family's 1533-position model. The record is from RNAcentral.
GACGAACGCUGGCGGCGUGCUUAACACAUGCAAGUCGAACGGAAAGGCCCUGCUUUUGUGGGGUGCUCGAGUGGCGAACGGGUGAGUAACACGUGAGUAACCUGCCCUUGACUUUGGGAUAACUUCAGGAAACUGGGGCUAAUACCGGAUAGGAGCUCCUGCUGCAUGGUGGGGGUUGGAAAGUUUCGGCGGUUGGGGAUGGACUCGCGGCUUAUCAGCUUGUUGGUGGGGUAGUGGCUUACCAAGGCUUUGACGGGUAGCCGGCCUGAGAGGGUGACCGGCCACCUUGGGACUGAGAUACGGCCCAGACCCCUACGGGGGGCAGGAGGGGGGAAUUUUGCACAAGGGGGGGAAGCCUGAUGCAGCAACCCCGCGGGCGGGAUGACGGCCUUCGGGUUGUAAACCGCUUUCGCCUGUGACGAAGCGUGAGGGACGGUAAUGGGUAAAGAAGCACCGGCUAACUACGU